RNAcentral lists this ribosomal RNA (569 nucleotides) under Cercomonas vacuolata. RNAcentral's name for it is "eukaryotic LSU rRNA". The stretch from base 306 to 569 matches the Rfam family "Eukaryotic large subunit ribosomal RNA", at positions 1 to 257 of the family's 3401-position model. The record is from RNAcentral. Lineage: Eukaryota; Cercozoa; Cercomonadida; Cercomonadidae.
GCCAGGGAGUAUGCCUCUUUGAGCAUCGUUUCUACCCAACCUCGUUAGCUUUUUUGUAAUGAAAAAGCGAGCGGAUAAUGCGCUUCUCGCUGGAAACAGGGAGUGGCGUUAAGAAGAGCGAGCUCUUUUCAUAGUGUUAGACCCGCAAGGGGCGCCUUAUAGUUUAUAUUAGGUUAUCACUUGGAUGUAGAUAAAUUUAUUUAUAUGACAUUCAAUAUAAAAUCUAAUCGAAUUACUAGGCUAAGAUACUUAGAAUAUGAGUUUCGAUGAAAAUUAACUUGAUAAUUUAUUUAUCAUUUUGAAUUAGAUCUCAAAUGAAGCAAGAUUACCCGCUGAACUUAAGCAUAUUAUUAAGCGGAGGAAAAGAAACUAACAAGGAUGCCCUCAGUAACGGCGAGUGAAGCGGGCAAAGCUCAACCUGAAAAUCGGAUUCCUUAGCGGGAUUUCGAAUUGUGGGCUACAGACGCGUAAUCAGUGUGUGACCCAGGUAUAAAUCUCUUUGAAACGAGGUAUCAUAGAGGGUGAGAAUCCCGUCUGUGACUUGGAGUUCGCCGCGUACGAUUCGUGUU